This 469-nucleotide ribosomal RNA is filed under the name uncultured Acidobacteriota bacterium. RNAcentral's name for it is "bacterial SSU rRNA". It matches the Rfam family "Bacterial small subunit ribosomal RNA", at positions 21 to 467 of the family's 1533-position model. Lineage: Bacteria; Pseudomonadati; Acidobacteriota. The record is from RNAcentral.
GGCUCAGAAUCAACGCCGGCGGCGUGCCUAACACAUGCAAGUCCAACGCGAAAGCCCCUUCGGGGGUAAGUAGAGUGGCGUCCGGGUGAGUAACACGUGGGUAAUCUGCCUCCGGGUGGGGAAUAACCCAGGGAAACUUGGGCUAAUACCGCAUAAUGCAGCGGCACCUAAUGGUGAUUAGUUGUUAAAGAGGGGGACCCUUCGGGGCCUCGCGCCUGGAGAGGAGCCUGCGGCAGAUUAGCUAGUUGGUGAGGUAAUGGCUCACCAAGGCUUCGAUCUGUAGCUGGUCUGAGAGGACGGCCACCCACACUGGCACUGACACACGGGCCAUACUCCUACGGGAGGCAGCAGUGGGGAAUUUUGGGCAAUGGGCGAAACCCUGAACCAUCAACGCCGCUAUGAAAGGAAGAAAUCCUACUGGAUGUGAAACUCAAAAAAUAGGGAAGAAUUUGAACAUCUGAAUAACUUU